Molecule: RNA transcript, 2315 nt
Organism: Bradysia coprophila
Lineage: Eukaryota; Metazoa; Arthropoda; Insecta; Diptera; Sciaridae
Gene: ITP
Gene name: ion transport peptide
Source: RefSeq, a predicted model, not a curated record
AAAAUUAGACGAUUUUACAAAUGUAGAGGCAGUUUGAGUAUGCCACUGUAACGGUAACCAUAUUUUUGGUUACAAAAAUACAUUUAUAGUGCAAAACAAAAUGCGUGUCCAGACUUUAAUAUGGAAUAAUUGAAUAUAAAGGCAUGUGACUUUAGUUGGAAUAAAAUUUGAAUCGUACGGUGUUGGUUGGAAAAAUUUAUUGAUCCCAGUGAAUAAGAGCUGCUCAGGCCAGUUUCAUGAGCAACAACUGUUCUAUCAAAAUAUCAAUUAUAAUGAAAGUGUAGAGAUCCAUACACUUUACAAUUUAUGCUCCCAAAGUUCUAUUUCCGUGUUUUAUUCAAUUAACUACCAAUUUAUUGUGUGUGCAACAUCCAUCUUUAAUUCACCACAUAAUAUGUUUUAAGCUCAGGCAACAAGAAAAUAAGUAAAAUUAAAUCAGUGGCGUUGUAACAGUGAAUUUUUCAUUCAUUAUAUUGGUUCGAUGUCAUCAAUUUCAUUUAUUGUGACGAACGGAAUUGGUAUCGAUAUAAAUGUGUUAGUUAUACUGUUCGCCAGUCAAUUGAAGUGAACUCCAUAAAUAACUCGUUUUACUGUGCUAAAAACUGUCCAAGAUUGGGUCGAAUAGGGAUUACACAAAGCUCCAUAUUAAAUGGAGAUGGACAAUUCGAACAAAGAACUACCAAAUUCGAGACCAAAUUGGAUGUGUUCCCGAAAUCUGGCGAUCUCGGUGGCACUAAUUUUAGUAUUGCUACCAUUGUUCAAUUCCCUGCCACAUCACAGUUUAGCGAAACGGAGCACAUUCUUUGAAAUUGAAUGCAAAGGCGUAUUUAACAAAUCAAUAUUUUAUCGGUUAGAUAGGAUAUGCGAGGAUUGCUAUCAGUUGUUUAGAGAACCAGAAAUACAUCAAGGUUGCAAGAGACGAUGUUUUACUACCGAAUUCUUCAAAGGGUGUUUAGAUUCAUUACAAUUAACAGAUGAAAUCGAAGAAAUUAAAAGCUACAUUAAACAAGUAAACGGAGGUCAACCUCCUGUUUUAAAACACUGAACGAAAUGGGAUAUUAAUCAUUUUCGUAUAACAAUCCCAUGAAAAUAUACUUUGUAAAAACAAACACAAAGAACAGGCAACUCUAUUUAUUUUUUAAUUUAUUUAACACAGAAAAGAGCUUUAAAUCAAAAUUAUUUUUAUAAUAAAAAUUAUGUUUAAUAUUGUAAAAAUAAAUCAAAAACAAUUAAAUGUUAUUAAUGGUUAUGUGAGAGCAAUUUAAAAUUAAAUUUAAAAAAAAAAACAUUUUACUAAGUUUACGAUGAAUUUAUGUAUCGUUUCGUAACAUUGAAUCGUUGAGAAGAAGUGUGUAAUAAAAACAACAUCAUCGAAAGUAUUAAAACAAAAUUGAAAUGAUCUAAACACUCUAAACGACGACAAGCCGUUCAUCGAUAUUUUGGUUUCAUCCAUUUUAAUUCCAUCCGAUAUAACAAUCGAUUGGAAUUCUAUCACAGAUAGAGCUGGGCGCAUUAUUUCAUUUUGUGUUUUUAAAGUUUUUUUUGCUUUGUUUAUGGGCAAAGUGUUUUGGUACCGAAUUUUUCACUGGAUGUGUUGAAGCACUAUUGCUGCAAGAAGAAAUCGAAAAAUUUGAAAAAUGGCGUGAAAUGUUGGGAAAACGAAAAUAAAUUAAUCCUAGCAACGUCUAAAUCAGCUGACACCUAUCGGAGAGUGUUAAUGAUGUAUAAAUAAUAAACCAUCUUAUAAUAUCAAGAUUUUCUAAUUUUGAUUUUUUUUUUAAAUUAAUUAAACUCAAUGAAGUAAAAUAUUUUAUUAAUCAUAAAAAAAUAGUGGCAACACUCUUUAUCUAGUCCUUGGAUAAUUUUUAAGUUUUUAUUAAUUUUUCUUUGUUUUAAGUUUACUUGAAGUACAUUGUAUCGACAAAUGAAAUUAGUAUUUAUAUUUUGUUUUGUAAAGUUAGUUUUGUUAAUUAAUUAAAAUUAAUGAAUAUAAAGAAAAACAACGGCUGGAACAUUAAAUUGUCAUAAAAUAACCAAUGAAAAUUAUAAUAAAAUAUUGUUAACAAUAAAAUUUAUUUUGAAAUCAAUAAUUUAAAAACAAAAACAUUUGUAAUUCAACAUAACACAAAACACACAUUCCUUAAACAGCAGUAUUUCCAUGGAAAACUAAAGAAAAAUCAAAUCAAAUGGAAAUAAAACUCAAGUCUGUUCUAAAAAAAAUUAUGAAAACUGAGAACAGUAUACCAUCUUAAGUAUUUUAAUUUAAAAAAAGGAAAACACAAAAUAUAUUUCUGAUAUUGCAAACAAAAAAAAAA